GGGCGUAUGGCUCAGUUGGUUAGAGCGCCACGUUGACAUCGUGGAGGCCGCAGAUUCGAAUUCUGCUACGCCCA
Molecule: transfer RNA, 74 nt
Filed under: Pirellulaceae bacterium
Lineage: Bacteria; Pseudomonadati; Planctomycetota; Planctomycetia; Pirellulales; Pirellulaceae
Description: tRNA-Val
Rfam family: tRNA
About the family: Transfer RNA (tRNA) molecules are approximately 80 nucleotides in length. Their secondary structure includes four short double-helical elements and three loops (D, anti-codon, and T loops).
Source: RNAcentral